GAUGAACGCUGGCGGCGUGUUUAACACAUGCAAGUCGAGCGAGAAGUUUUGAAGAGGUUCUUCGGAUGAAAUUUAAAAUGGAAAGCGGCGGACGGGUGAGUAACGCUUAGGCAACCUGCCCCAUACAAAGGGAUAGCAUUUGGAAACGCAUAUUAAUACCUUAUGAAACUUAACUAGUGCAUGUUAGGUAGGUCAAAGCUUUAUCGGUAUGGGAUGGGCCUGCGUCUGAUUAGCUAGUUGGUGAGGUAACGGCUCACCAAGGCGACGAUCAGUAGCCGACCUGGGAAGGUGAACGGCCACAUUGGAACUGGGACACGGUCCAAACUCCUACGGGAGGAAGCAGUGGGGAAUAUUGCACAAUGGGGGAAACCCUGAUGCAGCAACGCCGCGUGAACGAGGAAGGCCUUUGGGUCGUAAAGUUCUGUUGUAGGUGAGGAAAACUGACAGUAACCUAGAAGAGAACCCCGGCUAACUCAGUG
Molecule: ribosomal RNA, 479 nt
Filed under: uncultured bacterium
Lineage: Bacteria
Description: partial 16S ribosomal RNA
Rfam family: Bacterial small subunit ribosomal RNA
Source: RNAcentral